AUUCAGUUGACGAGUCUCACACAGGACGAAACACGCAUCCUGGAU
RNAcentral lists this non-coding RNA (45 nucleotides) under Schistosoma mansoni. Lineage: Eukaryota; Metazoa; Platyhelminthes; Trematoda; Strigeidida; Schistosomatidae. The record is from RNAcentral.